CAGCAGCCGCGGUAAUACGGGAAGGGCAAGCGUUAUCCGGCAUGACUGGGCGUAAAGAGUCCGUAGACUGUAAAGUAAGUUUUUUGUUAAAUUUUAAGACCUAAUCUUAAACUUGCAAUUAAUACUGCUUUACUUUGAGUUUAAUACAGAAAAGUGGAAUUUUAUACGACGGGGGUGAAAUCCGUAGAUAUAUAAAGGAACGCCAACAGCGAAGGCAACUUUUUGGUAUAAACUGACUUUGAGGGACGAAAGCGUGGGUAGCAAACAGGAUUAGAGACCCUGGUAGUCCACGCCGUAAAUUCUGAGUGCUGUAAUUUAAUUGUAAUAUUUUAUGUUAUUACUUAGAUUUUCAAGCUAACGCAAUAAGCACUCCGCCUGAGGAGUACGAUCGCAAGAUUGGAACUCAAAGGAAUUGACGGGGUCUAACACUAGUGGUGGAGCAUGUGGUUUAAUGCGAUAAUCCGCGCAAAAUCUUACCUAUUCUUGACUUAUUGAAAUAGUUAUACAAAUUAAUAACCGGUUUUUUACUAUAAUAUUUCUCUACAGGUGUUGCACGACUGUCGUCGGCUCGUGUCGUGAGACGUC
Molecule: ribosomal RNA, 585 nt
Filed under: uncultured alpha proteobacterium SIC.8120
Lineage: Bacteria; Pseudomonadati; Pseudomonadota; Alphaproteobacteria
Description: bacterial SSU rRNA
Rfam family: Bacterial small subunit ribosomal RNA
Source: RNAcentral